RNAcentral lists this long non-coding RNA (946 nucleotides) under Anser cygnoides (Swan goose). Its description in RNAcentral is "lncRNA (ENSACDG00005014787.1)". The record is from RNAcentral. Lineage: Eukaryota; Metazoa; Chordata; Aves; Anseriformes; Anatidae.
AUGAUGCGCCCCAAGGAUCAGGCACUAGUGGAAUUAUGUGACCCAGAAAGGCUCCAGGUGUGUCUGAGGCUUCAAAGCCUGCCGAUGCUCUCUCUGGCGCUCAGAGCCCUCACCAUGUUGUCAGAGAGACCUAAGAUGGGAAGAAAAUUGUUCUUCCUGCUGCCGGACGUGAUGAAUACACUGCUGUAUGACAACACACACAUCACUGAGAAGGCCCUGACUGUCUUCGAAAACGUGAUCGGUCAUCUGGAGAAGAGGGAGGCCAGCCCCAUCGCUCUGGCACUGGCUGAGAGACUCCUGCCUCUUUUUAACAACGAGUCCAGUGAGGUGCAAGAGCGCUCCAUUCUUCUCUUCAAAGACUUGAUGGAGUGUGUGGUGUGGUGGAAAAAAGGAGAAAUGAAGAAGACCAUGCGCAGGGCCCUUAUUCCACUGUUGUUCCGGAUGAGUGAUGAGACUGAGAGCGUGGCCAAGGCGUCAGCAGUAGUCCUACUUGCUUGUACAAUGUUCCUGAAGUGGAAACAGCUUGAGCACCUGGCUCAGAACGAAGACAUCACUAGGAUUAGGGAGUACUUGCUCAAGCAGAAGAGCAGCAGGGUGGACGAAUACCUGCAGCAGAGCCUGCCAUACCUGGAGGAUGCUCAGGCCAACUUGCGACAGGAGGCUGUCAAAUUCAUCGCGUUUGCUGCAUUGCACUCCGGGGACCUAGACAAAGAGAAGCUGCGUAUGAUCAUCACCUACCUCCAAAUUCAUUCGGAAUACGACAUCCAUCCAUCGAUCCGUCACCUGGCAGCUGGGACCAUAGAGAUCCUGCAACGUCAAGUACAGCAGCAACCCGCAUCAAGAUGGGCUAGGCUGGCAGCACUGCGCUGCUGGCCCUGAACAGCCAGGGAGCCACAGAGCUUCCCUGGGGAAGAUCUCUCUGAAUAAAACUCGAACUACAAGACCA